Long non-coding RNA from Meriones unguiculatus (Mongolian gerbil), 1432 nucleotides. RefSeq lists it as uncharacterized. The record is from RefSeq and is a predicted model, not a curated record. The transcript is spliced from 4 exons. Lineage: Eukaryota; Metazoa; Chordata; Mammalia; Rodentia; Muridae.
UUGUAUACUUCUGUGCCAAUUAUUUAAUUGGGUCAUUUUUAUUGGAGUUUGAUUUCCUCGGUCCAUUGUAUAGUUUGGAUAUUAGCACUUUGUUGAAAAUAGGAUUGAUGUGUUCUUUUCCUAAUGUGUAGACUGACAUUUAGUUUCAUUGAUAUUGUUUCCUCCUUAUAGAAGUUUUCAGUUUCAUGAGGUCUCAUUUAUUAACUUUUGAUCCUAGAGCCUGAUCUGUUGGUGUUCUGUUCAGGAAGUUGUCUCCUGUACCAAUGAGUUCAAGGCUCUUUCUAGCUUUCUCUUCAACAGAUUUAGUGUGUCUGCAGUUAUAUUGAGGUCUCUGCUCCACUUGGAUUUGCUAUUUAUUUCAGGGAGAAAAAUAUGUAUCUAUUUGCAUUUUUCUACAUGCAGAGAUACAGUUAGACCAGCAUGGUUUAUUGAAGAGGCUGUCUUUUUCCAUUGUACGGUUCCGGCUUCCUUGUCAAAAAUCAAUUGACCAAAGAUGUUCAUUAUUGAGAGGUUGUAGUGGUGGAUUUUUCUUUCGGAGAAAUCAAAUGUUCAAACUACUCUCACAACAGCAAUCCAAAACAAACAAGCUGUUUUUGGAUGAACUACAAUUUUGUCUCAGACUCUGGUCCUCUCCAAAGUCACUGUGGACCAUGAUGAAAUCGUACAGAUUGUUGAAGAAAGAACCAAACAUGUUUUUCACCCACAUGGAGGAACCAGGUGUAGAGCCCCAGGGCUAUGGGAUUCCAAGAGUACAUGGAUGAGAGGAAAACAGAACAAUAAAAAGACAGCAAAUUCAGAGCAAGUCUGGCUACAGCAACAGAAAUAUCUCAGUACUGUGACCCUCAGAUGUCUGGACUUUGCUGCAGUGUGUAUGCUGGCCUCUCAUGAGAACCAUUGUGUAUGCACAGACUGAGAGCCUGAAGCAACAGUAGGAAGCAGCUGUAGCAUUCAAAGUCUUCUCUGAUAUUGUUGAGGUCUGAGCCUGUUCCAAGGCCUAAGCCAAUAAUCUCCUUGGAUCUGCCUUGACGCAGGGGUCUGUCUCUGUGUAGUGAAGAACCUGACAUGUCCCUUCCUUUGCUUUGCCUCAGCCUCCUCCUACAACCUGUGUAUGCAUCGAUGGAGUUUCCUCUGUUCACUUGUGGUUAUAAAGGAGAGACCAACACCUACAUGGAGGCAGAUGUUAACCUCGCUACAUUUAUUCCCAUUUCCAUCCCACUUGAUCUAUCACAAUACCUCCAUAUCCUUUUUGACAGAAAACCAACUCUACUAUGGAAGUUCGACCUAGUGACUUGGAGAAACUAUCAAUAUUUGCUGACCUUAUACUUUGCCAUUGAAGAGAUAAAUAAGGACUCAAACCUGCUUCCCAAUAUGACCUUGGGUUCCCACAUCUACAAUGCUUUUAAUUCUAACAAAAUAACCUUGGAGGACCCUC